This 253-nucleotide ribosomal RNA is filed under the name uncultured bacterium. RNAcentral describes it as "partial 16S ribosomal RNA". It matches the Rfam family "Archaeal small subunit ribosomal RNA", at positions 474 to 727 of the family's 1478-position model. The record is from RNAcentral.
UACCAGCACCCCGAGUGGUCGGGACGUUUAUUGGGCCUAAAGCAUCCGUAGCCGGUUCUACAAGUCUUCCGUUAAAUCCAACUGCUUAACAGGUGGGCUGCGGAAGAUACUAUAGAGCUAGGAGGCAGGAGAGGCAAGCGGUACUCAGUGGGUAGGGGUAAAAUCCGUUGAUCCAUUGAAGACCACCAGUGGCGAAGGCGGCUUGCCAGAAUGCGCUCGACGGUGAGGGAUGAAAGCUGGGGGAGCAAACCGG